GAUGAACGCUGGCGGCGUGCCUAAUACAUGCAAGUCGAGCGAACGGACGAGAAGCUUGCUUCUCUGAUGUUAGCGGCGGACGGGUGUGUAACACGUGGAUAACCUACCUAUAAGACUGGGAUAACUUCGGGAAACCGGAGCUAAUACCGGAUAAUAUUUUGAACCGCAUGGUUCAAAAGUGAAAGACGGUCUUGCUGUCACUUAUAGAUGGAUCCGCGCUGCAUUAGCUAGUUGGUAAGGUAACGGCUUACCAAGGCAACGAUGCAUAGCCGACCUGAGAGGUUGAUCGGCCACACUGGAACUGAGACACGGUCCAGACUCCUACGGGAGGCAGCAGUAGGGAAUCUUCCGCAAUGGGCGAAAGCCUGACGGAGCAACGCCGCGUGAGUGAUGAAGGUCUUCGGAUCGUAAAACUCUGUUAUUAGGGAAGAACAUAUGUGUAAGUAACUGUGCACAUCUUGACGGUACCUAAUCAGAAAGCCACGGCUAACUACGUG
RNAcentral lists this ribosomal RNA (497 nucleotides) under uncultured bacterium. RNAcentral's name for it is "partial 16S ribosomal RNA". It matches the Rfam family "Bacterial small subunit ribosomal RNA", at positions 28 to 507 of the family's 1533-position model. The record is from RNAcentral.